GCAGGUGGCCUUCCUGCCGUUUCUGCGCUGCGGGCGGCGUCCAUUUCGCUUGCAAGCUUCGUUGCGUUCGCACGCCUUUUUCUGGCUCCCGUUGUCUCGCGUUCCGUCGUUGUUCUGGUGCCCUGGACUGCUGUGAAUGUGUUUUUAUGCCCUACUAGUGUUGCCUGGGGGUGCUUUUAUGUGUGCACCCUGGAAGAUAGGUCCAGAAGCCUUGCGAUUUCUUAGAUUAAAGCUAAGUGUACUCGUGACCCUACCAGCACUUUUCAAGAUACUUUCGACGUAUUCAUUGCGGUGAACAACGCGGUUGCGACAGCGCACUCACGACGUGGGAAGGUCACAGAAAUGUUGAAAGACAUCAGAUUGGGCAUACGCUUCACCCGUGCAACUUCGUUAUGUGCUCCACAGCUUUACGGCUGUGCCACUGUAUGUAAAAAAUGCUGAGUGAUUUUAAUAAAGAAUUUGCAGGGAAGUACAAUGUGUCGCACCUUGUUGACUCUUUUACAGAUGUGUGGAAACGUCGUAGCGGAUGAAUGUGAAUUAUGGAUCUCCAAGUGGCGUCGCCCGCGUCAUUUUCAAGAUUUUACCCGUUUUGAAGGUACGUAGUGAAUGUGCGAGGCAUUCACGUUCCUACUACGUGGUUAUCCAUGCGUUUCCCGUCUUCGCAGGCAAUAGGGCUGUUGAUAGGGAGAAUGCUAGGCUACUGUAGACUGCAACCAUAGGCGCUGUGUCUAAAGGUUAAGCUCACAUGACGCGGCAGGCAAGGGAGUCCGUGGCGUUUUUCCCCUUGUGGACCGAUGCUGUGUGUGUUCAUGGACAUCAUGUUUUCAAAGACAUAGCUAUGAUGGGGGCGCCAUCUAGUGUGAGGCCUUGCAACUAGGUGGCCACCUGUCGUCGAUCUCUGCAACUACCAGCCGUCAACAAGCAACAUGGCGGUCACUGGUCACUCGGGUGUUCCGGAGCGGUUUCUUCACCACGGAACCGUUGAUUUUAGAAUAAAUUGUUUUUCUCCACUCUA
Ornithodoros turicata is the source of this 1015-nucleotide RNA transcript. RefSeq lists it as uncharacterized. The transcript is spliced from 6 exons. Lineage: Eukaryota; Metazoa; Arthropoda; Arachnida; Ixodida; Argasidae. The record is from RefSeq and is a predicted model, not a curated record.